Glycine soja is the source of this 1941-nucleotide long non-coding RNA. RefSeq lists it as uncharacterized. Lineage: Eukaryota; Viridiplantae; Streptophyta; Magnoliopsida; Fabales; Fabaceae. The record is from RefSeq and is a predicted model, not a curated record. The transcript has 6 exons.
AAGAGCAAAACACAAUCCUUACACACCAUGUGGCACAUCUUUUUUGCAUUUUGAAACUGGAGAAAACCCUAGAAACCAAACUCUCUCUCACAUUGCCAUCUGCCUCCAUAAUGAUAACACUAUGCUUGCUACAAUCAUGGCGGACGUCAUGGUAACAAAGGAGAUCGAGGACACCGCGCUGCGUCUCGGCGUCAAUCUCUCCACUCUCGAUCUCGACGCCAUUCGCCUCCCUCCCGGCGAAGAUUGCGGCCUCUUGAGCCACCUUUUCUCAGGCUUGCAGCCUCUUGAGCAAGUUCUUGAAGGAGAAACAUGCUUCUGCUGAUUCCACCCUUGGAAUUGGUGGAAAAAUAGAACCUAAAAAAGCGAGUACCAAGGAUUUGUUAGGAAGCUUACAAAACUCAUAUGGGGCCUUAAAGCUAAGCGCUUCUGCCAUGGAAUUUCUUCCCCAGCUUGUGGAAAACCCCUGAAUUAAGAAGUCUAGUUGUGCUACUGUAUUUUUUAUUGUUAUUUUUUUUCUGAAGUCUAAGAAAAAAGUAAAAAAAAAAAGUGAUUUUUGUUCGGUGGAAUAAUUUAAGGAAUUUUGACUUCUAAUUUUUUAUCUUUAUUGGUAGAUUAUAUGUGAAUUUCAUUAUGAUUAUAGUUGGAGAUGGUAAGGGAUCCUCUGGAUCUGAGGCGGUAUGCAAAAACCAAGGACGACGAUGACCUAACUCAAGCAUUGGUGAAGGAAAUCAUAGAGAAAUGUCUUGGUUUCGAAGUUGAGCAGAGGAGUUUGGUGAUUCGUCUCAAGAGUUAUGCCAAGAGGAAAAGAUUUUGUAUAAAUUGAUAUCUGGUCUUCACUCCUCCAUAUCAAUUCAUAUAGCUUUUGAUUAUCUACUUGAUGAAGCUACAAAUUUGGCUUCAUAUUAUCUGGAACAGGCAGAGUAUGAUACUGGUAACCCCAAUGAGGACCUUACAACACAAUCCUUGAUAAAACAGCUACUUUACAACCCCAAGCUUCAAGCUGCAUGUCCAAUUCCAUUUGAUGAAGCUAAUUUGUGGAAAUGCCAAAGUGGACCUGAGCUAAAACAGAAAAUUCAACAAUAAUUCAGAAACAUCAGUGCAUUGAUGGAUUGUGUAGGAUGUGAGAAAUGUCGAUUAUGUGGUAAGCUAUAUUAUAUAUCUUCAUAUGUCCUUUUACUUGUUUCUGCAUAAUGCAUACAAUUCAUUUCUAUAUUAUUAUAUAUCUUUCUAGCUUCCUCCAUAUUCCACAAUACCUUUGGUGUAAUAUUAUUGAAGGAAAGCAUUUUCAAUUUUUUAAGGACACCUGCACUUUUAAUAAUAUUGUUUGAAUACUUCCUUAUCCUUUUCAAUUUAUUUAAUUAUUGAAUGGUUUCAGUCCAAAUUAUUUAAUUAACUCCUUUCACCCAUUUUUUCUUAAUUCUUUUUCAAAAUAAUUUCUUGAUAUUUUUUUUGUUAACUUCUUAAUAUUUUUCAUGUGUGAAUCGAACUCGAGUGGUGAUGGAGACAAUUUUACAAGCAACGUGAAAAGGCUCAUAAUUGAUUUGGUCACCAUUUGAAGGAAGAGAGUGUGAAAGAGUGAGGUCAGAGUUGCCAGUAGAUGAAGACAAUCGUCAUCAGUUGCAGCUGCAAAGGAAUGAGGUAAUUGCAUUGACGAACCUUCUCAAUCGACUCUCGGAAUCUGUCAAAUUCGUCCACGAAGUGGGACCUACAGCUGAAAGGAUCAUGGAAGGAGGACAUUUUUCUGCUCAUACAAGAACACUGAUUAGCUCAUGGAAAAAAAUUUGGUCCUAUGUAUCUAAAACUUAGGUAACAUGCUCUCUUAUGAGUAUUUGUCAUAUUUCUCAUUUGUUGUACCAAACUGAGUAUUACAUGUUUGCAAUUUGCAAGCUAUAAAUAAGAACCAAAUUUUACCGAUUAAAAAAAGAACCAAGUUUUAAUUUU